GAUGAACGCUGGCGGCGUGCCUAAUACAUGCAAGUCGAGCGAACAGACGAGGAGCUUGCUCCUCUGACGUUAGCGGCGGACGGGUGAGUAACACGUGGAUAACCUACCUAUAUGACUGGGAUAACUUCGGGAAACCGGAGCUAAUACCGGAUAAUAUAUUGAACCGCAUGGUUCAAUAGUGAAAGACGGUUUUGCUGUCACUUAUAGAUGGAUCCGCGCCGCAUUAGCUAGUUGGUACGGUAACGGCUUACCAAGGCAACGAUGCGUAGCCGACCUGAGAGGGUGAUAGGCCACACUGGAACUGAGACACGGUCCAGACGCCUACGGGAGGCAGCAGUAGGGAAUCGUACGCAAUGGGCGAAAGCCUGACGGAGCAACGCGGAGUGAGUGAUGAAGGUCUUCGGAUCGUAAAACUCUGUUAUGAGGGAAGAACAAAUGUGUAAGUAACUAUGCACGUCUUGACGGUACCUAAUCAGAAAGCCACGGCUAACUACGUG
Molecule: ribosomal RNA, 497 nt
Filed under: uncultured bacterium
Lineage: Bacteria
Description: partial 16S ribosomal RNA
Rfam family: Bacterial small subunit ribosomal RNA
Source: RNAcentral